AUUGAACGCUGGCGGCAGGCCUAACACAUGCAAGUCGAACGAGUGGCGGACGGGUGAGUAAUGUCUGGGAAACUGCCUGAUGGAGGGGGAUAACUACUGGAAACGGUAGCUAAUACCGCACACCAUCAGAUGUGCCCAGAUGGGAUUUGCUUGUUGGUGGGGUAACGGCUCACCAAGGCGACGAUCCCUAUCUGGUCUGAGAGGAGGACCAGCCACACUGGAACUGAGACACGGUCCAGACUCCUACGGGAGGCAGCAGUGGGGAAUAUUGGACAAUGGGCGCAAGCCUGAUGCAGCCAUGCCGCGUGUAUGAAGAAGGCCUUCGGGUUGUAAAGUACUUUCAGCGGGGAAGCGGUACCCGCAGAAGAAGCACCGGCUAACUCCGUGCCAGCGGCCGCGGUAAUAC
RNAcentral lists this ribosomal RNA (406 nucleotides) under uncultured bacterium. RNAcentral's name for it is "partial 16S ribosomal RNA". It matches the Rfam family "Bacterial small subunit ribosomal RNA", at positions 30 to 526 of the family's 1533-position model. The record is from RNAcentral.